AGCCUGUGAUGCUUAAUACAGAGUAGUGGACAGAAGGGAUUUCUGAAACGUUUGCUUCUGAGGCU
This is a small nucleolar RNA of Cavia porcellus (domestic guinea pig), 65 nucleotides long. Ensembl annotates it as small nucleolar RNA SNORD75. The record is from Ensembl. NCBI's taxonomy places the organism in Eukaryota, Metazoa, Chordata, Mammalia, Rodentia, Caviidae.